UACAGAGGUCUCAAGCGUUGUUCGGAUUCAUUGGGCGUAAAGCGCACGUAGGCGGCUUCUUAAGUCGGUGGUGAAAUCCUGGAGCUCAACUCCAGAACUGCCUUCGAUACUGGGAAGCUCGAGUCCGGGAGAGGUGAGUGGAACUGCGAGUGUAGAGGUGAAAUUCGUAGAUAUUCGCAAGAACACCAGUGGCGAAGGCGGCUCACUGGCCCGGUACUGACGCUGAGGUGCGAAAGCGUGGGGAGCAAACAGG
Molecule: ribosomal RNA, 253 nt
Filed under: uncultured bacterium
Lineage: Bacteria
Description: partial 16S ribosomal RNA
Rfam family: Bacterial small subunit ribosomal RNA
Source: RNAcentral